RNAcentral lists this ribosomal RNA (562 nucleotides) under uncultured bacterium. Its description in RNAcentral is "partial 16S ribosomal RNA". It matches the Rfam family "Bacterial small subunit ribosomal RNA", at positions 356 to 1375 of the family's 1533-position model. The record is from RNAcentral.
UGGGAAUCUUAGACAAUGGGGGCAACCCUGAUCUAGCCAUGCCGCGUGAGUGAUGAAGGCCUUAGGGUUGUAAAGCUCUUUCAGCUGGGAAGAUAAUGACGGUACCAGCAGAAGAAGCCCCGGCUAACUCCGUGCCAGCAGCCGCGGUAAUACGGAGGGGGCUAGCGUUGUUCGGAAUUACUGGGCGUAAAGCGCACGUAGGCGGACUGGAAAGUCAGAGGUGAAAUCCCAGGGCUCAACCUUGGAACUGCCUUUGAAACUAUCAGUCUGGAGUUCGAGAGAGGUGAGUGGAAUUCCGAGUGUAGAGGUGAAAUUCGUAGAUAUUCGGAGGAACACCAGUGGCGAAGGCGGCUCACUGGCUCGAUACUGACGCUGAGGUGCGAAAGCGUGGGGAGCAAAACAGGAUUAGAUACCCUGGUAGUCCACGCCGUAAAACGAUGAAUGCCAGACGUCGGCAAGCAUGCUUGUCGGUGUCACACCUAACGGAUUAAGCAUUCCGCCUGGGGAGUACGGUCGCAAGAUUAAAAACUCAAAGGAAUUGACGGGGUCAUAGCUGUUUCCU